This is a long non-coding RNA of Homo sapiens (human), 520 nucleotides long. RefSeq lists it as uncharacterized. The record is from RefSeq and is a predicted model, not a curated record. NCBI's taxonomy places the organism in Eukaryota, Metazoa, Chordata, Mammalia, Primates, Hominidae. The transcript has 3 exons.
GACAGGUUGCUCUUCCUUUGCAGGCCUCCAAGAGCGCUGGGAACAACAGACGCGCAGACCUGCGGACAGACAGGAGACAGGGUAAACACCGAUGACUCCCAGAUCUACAGCUCCAGGCUGUUCCCUUCUCCGUGUCUCAUAUCAGCUUUGCCAACUGUUUAUUGGACAUCACCGCCUGAGUAUCCCUGAGGGACACGAUUAUCCUGUUUGGAGUGUAUUGAACUUCUUGGAUACAUCGAUUAGUGUCUUUCCUCAAGUUUGAGUAAUUUGCAGUCAUUUUUCCUUUGAAAAUUCUUUCUUCUCUAUUCUGUUUCUCUCCUUGUUGAACCCCCAUCAUGCAUAGGUGUGCUCUGUUCAUUUUUCACAUUACUUUUAUUUUUCUGCUCCUCGGACUGAAUAAUCUCAAUUGACCUAUUUUAAGUUCACUGAUUCUUUUGCCUGCCCAAACCUACUGUUGUACCCCUCUAGUGACUUUUAGUUAUUGUACUUUUCAAAUAAAGAAUUUCUAUUUAUUUUAUAA